Molecule: ribosomal RNA, 253 nt
Filed under: uncultured bacterium
Lineage: Bacteria
Description: partial 16S ribosomal RNA
Rfam family: Bacterial small subunit ribosomal RNA
Source: RNAcentral
UACGUAGGGCGCGAGCGUUGUCCGGAAUUAUUGGGCGUAAAGAGCUCGUAGGCGGCCUGUCGCGUCCGCUGUGAAAUCCCGGGGCUUAACCCCGGUUCUGCUUCCGGUACGGGCAUGCUGGAGUGUGGCAGGGGAGACUGGAAUUCCUGGUGUAGCGGUGGAAUGCGCAGAUAUCAGGAGGAACACCGGUGGCGAAGGCGGGUCUCUGGGCCAUUACUGACGCUGAGGAGCGAAAGCGUGGGGAGCGAACAGG